Molecule: non-coding RNA, 179 nt
Filed under: Oceanospirillaceae bacterium
Lineage: Bacteria; Pseudomonadati; Pseudomonadota; Gammaproteobacteria; Oceanospirillales; Oceanospirillaceae
Also listed under: 1 other name
Description: 6S RNA
Rfam family: 6S / SsrS RNA
About the family: E. coli 6S RNA was the first non coding RNA to be sequenced, but its function was unknown until recently.
Source: RNAcentral
AACUCCCUGAGGUGUUCGACAGCUGGUAACGUCCCUCGAGCCGAUAAGCACACCUCCGGAGGUUUCACGCAAGCAUUGAUGUGCAUGUCCGUUUUACGGAAAGCCUAAUAUGUUUCUGAAACCGCCACCUUGAACCUUCGGGUUCAGGGCCAGUACCACACCGGCACCCCGGGGAGCCU